Molecule: unclassified non-coding RNA, 259 nt
Filed under: uncultured fungus
Lineage: Eukaryota; Fungi
Description: partial contains small subunit ribosomal RNA, internal transcribed spacer 1, and 5.8S ribosomal RNA
Rfam family: Eukaryotic small subunit ribosomal RNA (bases 1-73)
Source: RNAcentral
GCAAACUUGGUCAUUUAGAGGAAGUAAAAGUCGUAACAAGGUUUCCGUAGGUGAACCUGCGGAAGGAUCAUUACUGUAAGGGCCCCGCCCUUGCUGAGAUUGAACCCUUUGUCUUUGGAUACCCACCGUUUCCUCGGCAGGCUCGCCUGCCAACGGGGACCCCCAAACCCUUUUGUAGUUGCAGUACCCGUCAAAUACACAAUCAAUCAAAACUUUCAACAACGGAUCUCUUGGUUCUGGCAUCGAUGAAGAACGCAGC